This 347-nucleotide ribosomal RNA is filed under the name uncultured bacterium. RNAcentral describes it as "partial 16S ribosomal RNA". It matches the Rfam family "Bacterial small subunit ribosomal RNA", at positions 338 to 682 of the family's 1533-position model. The record is from RNAcentral.
CCUACGGGCGGCAGCAGUGAGGAAUAUUGGUCAAUGGACGGAAGUCUGAACCAGCCAUGCCGCGUGCAGGAAGACGGCUCUAUGAGUUGUAAACUGCUUUUGUACAAGGGAAAACCGGAAUACGUGUAUGCAGCUGAAAGUACUGUACGAAUAAGGAUAGGCUAACUCCGUGCCAGCAGCCGCGGUAAUACGGAGGAGCCAAGCGUUAUCCGGAUUUAUUGGGUUUCACGGGUGCGUAGGCGGAUUGAUAAGUUAGAGGUGAAAUGUCCGUGCUUAACUCGGGAACUGCCUCUAAUACUGUUGAUCUAGAGCGUAGAUGCGGUAGGCGGAAUGUAUUGUGUAGCGGU